GGAGAGGUCGCAUAGAGGCCUAGUGCACCGUCUUGGAAAGGCGGCAUACCUUUACCGGUAUCGCGGGUUCGAAUCCCGCCCUCUCCG
Molecule: transfer RNA, 87 nt
Filed under: Patescibacteria group bacterium
Lineage: Bacteria
Description: tRNA-Ser
Rfam family: tRNA
About the family: Transfer RNA (tRNA) molecules are approximately 80 nucleotides in length. Their secondary structure includes four short double-helical elements and three loops (D, anti-codon, and T loops).
Source: RNAcentral